AACGAACGCUGGCGGCAUGCCUAACACAUGCAAGUCGAACGAGACCUUCGUGUCUAGUUGCUCACGGGUGCGUAACGCGUGGGAACCUGCCCGUAGGCUCGGAAUACUACCCCGUAGGGGGGGCUAAUACCGGAUAAUGUACUCGAACCAAAGAUUUAUCGACUUUGGGUGGGCGCGCGUUGUUUUGGCUUGUUGCGAGGGGAAAAGCCUACCACGGCGAGGAUCCAUAGCUGGUCUGAGAGGAAGAUCAGCCACACUGGGACUAGGACACGGCCCAGAAUAUUACGGGAGGGAGCAGUGGGGGAUAUUGGAAUAUGGGCGAAAGCCUGAUCCAGCAAUGCCGCGUAAGUGAUGAAGGCCGUAGGGUUGUAAAGCUCGUUUAUACGGGAUGAUAAUGACAGUACCGAGAGAAUAAGCUCCGGCUAACUUCGUG
This 433-nucleotide ribosomal RNA is filed under the name uncultured bacterium. RNAcentral's name for it is "partial 16S ribosomal RNA". It matches the Rfam family "Bacterial small subunit ribosomal RNA", at positions 29 to 507 of the family's 1533-position model. The record is from RNAcentral.